UAUUCUUCAGGCAGUUGCAAA
This 21-nucleotide non-coding RNA is filed under the name Caenorhabditis elegans. Lineage: Eukaryota; Metazoa; Nematoda; Chromadorea; Rhabditida; Rhabditidae. The record is from RNAcentral.